Molecule: long non-coding RNA, 1651 nt
Organism: Aphis gossypii (cotton aphid)
Lineage: Eukaryota; Metazoa; Arthropoda; Insecta; Hemiptera; Aphididae
Exons: 3
Source: RefSeq, a predicted model, not a curated record
AACACCGUUCGUAUAUUAUAUACAUAUAUAAUAAUGUAUAGUGCGGUGGUUGCAGCCAGCCCAGCGCCUAGCCGGAGAUGGACCAGAUAGAGAUGAUAAUAAUUCGGUACAGUGAAUCUGUGUGCGCGGGCUUAUAUAUUAUGGGCGUGUGUGUAUGUGUGUGUGUGUGUCUUUGAAAGAUUUUUUUUUCUUAUAAUCCGUAUAGUAGUAAAUAAUGUGUUUGGUACUUCAGCUGUCGGUUAUUAUUAUUAUAUUGUGUUGGUCCUCGCGACGGCCGAGCAUUAUAUUAUUAAAAAAAAAAAAAAAAAACACAACACAACACAACACGUGGGGCAGAGCAACGAAUAAUAUACGAAGAACGAUGAUGACGACGACGACGACGACGACGGCGACGACGACUUCGACGACCAACACACCAGUCAGAGGCGAUACGCGAGCACGUAGGAGUGAGUACGCCCCGAGUCAAGAGAAACGUGUACGACGCGGAUUCACAGACGACGAGAUGUACGGUAGGACUAAUAUGGAUAAUGUACACGGGCGAUUUGGUGAAGGAAUAAUAUUAUAUACACAGACCCGGCCGGGGACGACGGGGGAAAGAGACUGAUGUAGAGCGCAUAAUAUAAUGUUAUAUUAUACAUAUAUAUAUGCGUUAUAGGCAUAUACUCGGAGAGAAGAGACGAAAAAAAAGAUUGAAUUACACACAUAUACAAUAAUAAUAUUAUACACUGCGCACAACUCGGAUACAGCGCGCGGGCCCCGCGUGCCGUUUUCUUGUUACAGUUGCACACACAGAGCGGCUCAUUAUAUGUGCGCGCAAGGUUAAAAUAUAUUACGUGUGCACUGUGUAGGAAAACGUAUUAGGGUUCUACGGAUCCGUUGGUUUGGUAUUAUUACUAUUUUUUUUUUUUUGACGUUUGUGUUCGUCGGAAGAAAAAAAUAAGCACACACGUCCCGUCUAGCGUAUACAACCAUGCACGUUCUGCAGUCCACCAAACGUGCGCUACACGUGUGCAUUAUAAUAUCGUAUUAUAGGUAUAGAAUAACGAUCGAGUAAUAUUAUAACAUCACAAUAAUAAGCGCGUUACCGUUAUAUGUCGAUAUAUGAUGUUAUUAUUGGCCACCAAAAAGUGUUAUAAUAUUAUAUCAUAAUAAUUCAUAACACAUCUAUUCUGACCCGAUAUCUCAAUCGUCGAGCUUGUAAAAUAGGUACUUUAUCAAUCUUUACAUAUUAAUACAAUAUUGUAAAGGUGAAUUUAUAAUAUAUAUAUAUUAGGUGCAGCUCAGCGAUGUAUUAUAUUAUGAGUAUAUGACGUAUACUAUACGUGUUAUUUACAGUAUCACUGAGAUGUUUAUAAUACACUGAACUGGAGAGUUGGAAAACACAUCACCCAAGUUUACACGGAGUAUCGGGACAUAAGAAACCUAUACUAUAUAUAUACCAUCGAAUAUGGAAGAAACUCUCAACGAAAACAAUACCAGCAAAAUGAUCAUGUUUCUAAUCAAAAUUAAUUUCAUUAAAAAACUUUAACAUUGUAAAAAUAUUUUACCUUAGUCUCUAUAACUUACAGUACCUACAAUUUUAUUUAUUUUUCUACUUUUAAUCUAUUAUGUAUAUCUAAAAUACGUUAGGCUAAUAACCUAUGAUGUUAAA